This 565-nucleotide long non-coding RNA is filed under the name Homo sapiens (human). Its description in RNAcentral is "non-protein coding LIPE-AS1:19". The record is from RNAcentral. Lineage: Eukaryota; Metazoa; Chordata; Mammalia; Primates; Hominidae.
AUCCUGGUCCACUCCGCAGAGGCCCGAGCGGGCUCGCGAGGGAACGGGUUCUCCGAGUCUGGCCGGCCACAACAACUGGAUUCUCUUUUCUGAUUUUUGCUGCAGCUUCUGCUUUGUAAUCAUACGGACAGUUGUGCUUGUCAGAGUUAACGGUGAAGUCCACAAAACAAAUUUCCACAUCGGCAGUCAAACCUGUAAGACCAACUUUCUUUCUGCACAUGAAACAUCUGUUUUUCUUUGGUUUGGGCAAUUCAGGAGCUUUUUCUUUACUCUGAGAAGUACUGGGCUGAAAAACUGAUGGGCUGGGCUGAGUGACAACUGGCUCUCACACCUCUGUUUUCGGGGUAGUUAUUUUGUCCUCUGUUGAAAUGCUCAUUUCUGUCAUUUGCUGAGUUACAGGCAAGGCAGCCGCAGGCACAUUUCUUGAUUUUUCAGAUGUGCUGCCAGCAGCACCUUCACAGUUGUUUAAGCUAGUGUCUGCUCUCUGUACAGAUGCAGAAUCUGAGGUAGGACUGUUGGAACCACUAGCUGUCCCCAUUGGGCUCAUUCUGCCACUAUUCUGCUG